GAUCAUGGCUCAGGAUGAACGCUAGCGACAGGCCUAACACAUGCAAGUCGAGGGGCAGCGGGGAGGUAGCAAUACCUUUGCCGGCGACCGGCGCACGGGUGAGUAGCACGUAUGCAAUCCACCUGUAACAGGGGGGAUAACCCGGAGAAAUCCGGACUAAUACCCCAUGAUAUGGGCUCUCCGCAUGGAGGGUCCAUUAAAGAGAGCAAUCUUGGUUACAGACGAGCAUGCG
RNAcentral lists this ribosomal RNA (232 nucleotides) under uncultured bacterium. RNAcentral describes it as "partial 16S ribosomal RNA". It matches the Rfam family "Bacterial small subunit ribosomal RNA", at positions 15 to 235 of the family's 1533-position model. The record is from RNAcentral.